GAUUUCCAUGAGUACGUGUAACCGGCCGUGGGCUCCGCUUUCUGUCAGGUUUGGGCGUUCUGGGGCUGCAAAGCCCCGUGAGGGGCUGCUUUUGAAACGAGGCUUUGACAUGGGGUUUUCUGUAAUGUUCUCUUUGUGUCGUGCUGUUUUGUUUCAGGUUGUGGUGGGGCGUCUUCUAGUGAAGAUCAGCGCGAACCGAUGAGCCGUUCGGGUAUUCACGGGACCGCAGAGCCGGGGAGCCGCCCGGGGCCAGCACGGAGCUCCCCCGGCUUCUCGGAGCCGGGCGAACGUCGCCGCCCGACCGCUGUCGUGUUUUCGGAGGGGACCGCCGCUCACCGCUCCUUUCUCCGUGUCUCGGAGCCGUCCCGGGGCGCUGUCAGCUCCCUCGAGACUGAGCGAAGGCCGCACCGGAGCAUCUCGUCAGCCCGAACCGACGAGGCGGUGGAAGCGGGGAGCGUUCGGAAGCUGCUAGGGUAAACUGAGCUAGUGCUUCACUGCAUGACCCUCUGAGUCCAACAUGUAAGUUUGUUCCUGUGAACCUUUAUCCCAAACUGAGACUCAGCUUUAAUGCUAACUAUACAAAUACAGUAUGCUCUGCACUGUGUAUUUUAACAAAAGUAAUGGAACUGCACUGGGGUUCUGCCAUACUUGAUUAUAGUACACAUGAGCAUUUAUAUCUUUGUGACAGUCUGCAAUUAUUAAUUGGUUACACUUGCAAUCAGUUAAUGAUCUAUUUCUGCUGCCACUAAAGUGAAACAUGUGGGUAAUUCAGGAGAGAAAAUGGAGUUUGAGUUAAAUAUGAUGCAGCUUCCCUAAUGACUUGACUGCAACAAUUUCAAUAAGUUAUCGGGUGAUUUUAAUCACUAAUUCAAGAUGAUGUUGGAGGGCGAUUGAGCAGUUGCUCUCUAUGAAAAACAGAAUGGGGGGUUAUUUUACAUAGGGAUGUCUAAAAUUCAUAUUACUGAGAGAAAAUUUAUGGAUAAACACAUCCACUAAUUCAAUGAAAUUUCUUUUUAUUAUAGAAUCACAAAGCCAACCUUGUAGGAAGGGACGCGUGACUCCUAGCUCUGCAGUACAUUGUCCUGACUUAAACUGGUCUGGCUGAGAGCAGCAUCCAUGUGCUUUGUGAACUGUGUCGGCUCUGGGCUGUGACUGCUGCCUCAGGGAAGCCUGUUCUGACAUCUCAACCCUCUUUAGAGCAAGGUUUUUCUUCGUCUCCAACCUGUACUGUCUACUGUCCAAAUCCCUCUGCAGAGCCUUAUGUACACCUUUGACUCCUGUGUCCUGAUUAAUGACUCCUGUGUCCUGAUUAAUUAUAGAAAUGCCUAAGGGAACUACUCCUGCAAAGAAGCUCCUGGAAUCUGACUGUUCCUACAUAUUAGUUUAUUGACUCAGUGUAUUAGAAAAUUGAAAUUAAUGGAUGUAUUGUUCUACUGGUGGAAUGGAAUAAAAUCUGUUAAAUUAUCCA
This 1468-nucleotide long non-coding RNA is filed under the name Coturnix japonica (Japanese quail). RNAcentral describes it as "lncRNA (ENSCJPG00005017307.1)". The record is from RNAcentral. Lineage: Eukaryota; Metazoa; Chordata; Aves; Galliformes; Phasianidae.